Molecule: long non-coding RNA, 6292 nt
Filed under: Taeniopygia guttata (zebra finch)
Lineage: Eukaryota; Metazoa; Chordata; Aves; Passeriformes; Estrildidae
Description: lncRNA (ENSTGUG00000019463.1)
Source: RNAcentral
UUUUUUUUUUUUUUUUUUUUUUUUUUUUUUAACUUAAAGACCUGAAUGCAGUGGUCAGAGGGACUGGAGAGCUCAGAAUGCUAGUAAUGAGAUAUGGAGCCCUUUUCUCCUAGGUCACUGGCAUGAAUUUGACCCUGGUUAGUAAUAACCAAGAGUUGUUAUCAGCUGGUGGCUGUUUGGUGGCCUAAGACGCACAAGCUGGUGGUUUCACUUUGUGUAAUGACCCGUGGCUGCAUACACAUACACACAGCCUUCAGUUAAAACAUGUGCAAAUAGCUUGGGAAAUACCAUAUAGCUCAUGAUUGAACUUCAGAACUCAGGCUGAAAGGUCGUCUGUGGUGGCAAUUAAGAGUGACAGGCUUUAAACCCUGUCAGCCACAGAGAACAAGGUGCUCACCAGCAUUCACACAAGUCAUUUGCUCCUGCUUGGACAGUGGAACUCACACAUUUAAAGCAGAAUAACACAAAAUAAUGGAUAAGUACUAAAUUAAUUCUGUACAAGACAAAGUGACAAAGCAAAGUCCUUUUAAGGUCUGGAAUCUGCAAGCAAAAGGAAAGAAACAGAAGAUAAAGGGGAAGAAAAUCUGAGGGAAAAAAGUAGUGGAAAAGGGAAGAUAUGUAUUAUUAAAAUAGAGUAUGUAGAGAAAUGAUAGCAGAUACACCGAUGGCUCAUGCUUCCCAAAACAUAUGACUCCUCUUCUUGCCUCCUUUAUAGAGUUAAUCAACUUCCUGUGAAAAAAUGGCUUGUUAUAUAAGAUUUAAAAUACAUCAGAGUAUUUAGGCACAUUCUUCACUUCUAGCAUGUGCUGCUUGUUUCAGCAGAGUGCCUGUUCUUUCUUACAGUAGGUAUUUGCUUAUCUACCUUACCAAAGUGAAGGUUUAUAAUUAAGCUGUGUAGACUCAGCUAAAAGGUUUGGUUGUGAUUAUGGAUGUGGUUUUACUACAUCAGCAGCAAGGAGCAUGAUGACCAGGAAAUGACCAGGAUGAAAAGGAGUAAUAUAGAAAUAAGAUCUCCACUGAUGUGACAGGAACUUUAGAGAGGGUUGGGAGGGCUUUUGGAGCAAAUGGAUGCUGGGUCAGGAUUUUCCACAAACUCGUUCAUCCAUCUCUAAAGUUACUGUUAAAUAUCUGUGACAUACGUGUGUUGAUUCAAUGGUGAAAGGCUUAAAGAUCAGGCUGGGUUGACAUUUCUUCUUGUAAGGCUCAAUAUCAUGAAAACAUUUGAAGUGUAAAGAGCUGCAGAACUGGCUAGUUUCACAUGUCAUACUGAUGCUGUGUGGCUUUGUAAAAGAACUGAUACACUUUGACGCUCUAGGCCUGAAGCAAAUCCAAAGCAUAGGACUUCUGAGCAUGGCAAGAGACCGUGAAGCAGCAGCACAGAGCGCCAGGUAAGAUCAAAUUCCUGGCUAUUUUCCAUUUCCCUGUCACACUCUGUAUGCUUAAUAAACUGCUUUUACAAUAGUGAUAGGAUCUGACUGCCACCUGCAUGCUGUGUAAUGUGUAUCCUCUACAGAAAGAACAUUUUGCAGCUGCAAGAGGUAAGUACUUUGAGCCUAGAAUACCUGAAUGUUCUAAGAUGAGCUCACUGCUUUCUAAGCUGCAAAAAUGCUUAAUCCCUUUGUCACUUUAUAUUUUUUUGUAGUUAAUGAUGUCAGUGGAUUGACAAAGGCACAUAACCAGGGGCAGAAUCUGGCCUAUCAUAUUUAUUAGGAUGUGAUUCCUCAAGUAGACACUACAGCCUUGUAAGGGCACAUCCUCUGCUUUGCUUUUACGUAUGAAAUGUAAGGGAGUAGAACUUGUGUUACAAAGCAAUAAUUGCCAGCUCUGUGACAAUUCUAUGUGAACUCAGUGCUGGUACAUGAUAACCUGCAGAUGCUAAGAUCAGUUUGAUUUAAGAACUUUAAACAAAACCCUACUGACCACUUAGCAAUAUAUUUUUUUGUCUGACUCUUUUGACUGACACUUAGAUAGUAAGCUCUUUGGAGCAGGAAAUAAUCUCUUAUUUGUUAAUUCUAUGAGGCCCUGUUCUAACUAACGUUCUACUGAAAAUUUAUUUUAUUGUUUAAUGACAUUUUUCAAACUUAGAAUAGUGCGAACAUGUUCAUAGCUUAUAUUAAGUUCUGAGGCUUAUUAAUUCUUGUUUAUAAUAAUCCUCCUCUUGUCUACAAUCACUUUUCUUUCAUCUUCAGGUAUUUUACCUCAUAAACUUUUUCUUCUUUUGCAGAAGCAGUAGAUUCUGCUCUGCUCCAAAGCAAACUUUUCUGCUAUAGUUAGUAGGGGAGUGUUGGUAUGUAGGUCUUCACUUCCUGCUCAUUGUGUCUUUUGGUGCUUCUUGCAAAAAACUAAGGAUUAUUAUAUUCUUUAGUCAACUUUGUUUUUGUCUUUUGCAGUCCAUCAUUGCUAAAUAAGAAAGCCAAGAUUCUUUCACAAGCUCAAGAAGCAUAUUGCUUCUUUCCAAUAGGUAACCACAGAUACUUCAUAUGUAACCAUUGAUUUUCUAUCCAGGGAUGUGUAGGAAGUCUUACAAAGAGCAUGAGUAAGGACGCAUCUAAUAACAUGUCAGAAUUUUCCUGUUUCCACACCUGAAUGCUCAGUCCAGAAUACUGAUCCCCGCACCAGAGAACAACCACAGUUUACAAAGUCAAUAUAUACUGUAUGAAGUAGCUGUAUAGUUAUGAUAGUUACCACAGGGAAUGAAACCUAAAAUUUUUAGAUGCAAGCAGAGGGCAUAGGCAGGAUCUGACUUUUCUCUGAAGUAGGCUCAGCUAGAGGAAAAAUAUUGAUUUUCACCACAGCCAUCCUUCCUUCAGAAGUUAUUUCAUGUUUGAAAGGGAUGCAUGAGGCUAUAGAGAAAAAGAAAAAGGGUGGUAUUUUAUCUUAAUUUAUAAUUUUAUUUUAUUUACAGAGUUCAGUUAUUUUAUGUGUUCUCUUCCUUAAAUAAAAGCAAAUAAACCAGAAUAUUUUCUUUAAAUGCAGUGUUUGAUGUAUACUGCAUUGGAAGUUAUUAAUUAGUAUCAGUGCUCAGUCUUGGCAGUCAUGAUUUCUUCCAAGCCGGUAUUGCAGAAAUCAAACAAAAAAGGUAAAAAUAAAUUAAACUUGAGACUUCUAUUUGUGUAAGUACCCAAAUGUUAACAAAUUUCUCUGAACCCACUGCUGUCUUAAAUCUCUAAAGUCUGAAAACAGAUUUUCUAAGACUGAUAGAAACUGCCAGCUUCAGCUUAGGAGGUCUUUGCAGACUGAAAUCAAUUGCUUGGCUUCAAAACCCUGUAGUCAAUACAGGCUUUUCUGGCUGCUGGGCUUGGUGGGACACUGAUCAGAUGCACAACGAGGCUGCUUUUGGGAUUGGGUGGGUUUUGGUAGAACACAUUUUUGCUGAAAUGCAGGUGCUCCUUUCAGAUGGGUCAAAGGCAAAGUGCAAGAGGGCACUGGGCAAGUAGACAUACAGAUUACAUUCUCUAAGGCCCCUGGAAAAUCUAGUUUUGCCUGUGUUCUUACACUCAUUUUUUCAAUGUACACAAUUGACAACUUCAUCAUCAUAAGCAGUAUGAAAAAAACCCCAAAUCAGUUCUUAGCCAGUAUUGGAUGUAUUUCUCAUGUUAUGGCAUUUACUUGAGAUAAUUUUAAUAAAAGCAGAACUGCACAGUGUACACUAAUGAAAAUAUAUUUCCAUUUCAGUACAUAUGUAUAUGAAUUCCGGUAUUAUUUAGAUCCCUUUUAAAAACAACAAAAAAAGGUAACUCUUUAAAAAAAAAAAAAUUUAAACAGUUUCCCUUCAUGUUCUUUUUCCUCAUUCUUCUGAAGAAUUUCUGCCUGAAGCACAGCUACAUUACACUCAUAAAACAUAUCAAGGUACCAGCAUUCUCCAGUACUCCAACCACUCCAAUCACUGCUGUGUGAACAGCUGCGAGUGCAUUUUUUUAAUAUUUGCAACUAAAAAUACUUCUGUGCUAAAAAGUGUCAAGUUCUGCAAGCCUUUCAUGGCCAGGACACUUCUCAAAUAUUCAGUGAAAUUCUAAAACCAGUAGGACUCCAGACUGAAAAUCAAAAUCUUGGGAAUGUACUUAAGGGGUAAAAAAAGCCAAGCAAUAAAUAAACUUUGAAGGAAGAAAAAUCCUUUUUGGUUAAGAAAGCAAAAAAACAAGUUCUUAAAAAUACUGACUCUCAAAACAGCUCUGUAUUUCUGAGGGAGUAAUUCCUCAUGCAGGAAAUACCUGAGUAAUUAACAUUUACUAAAGCAAAAGCUCAAACCUGCAUUCUGCCCAUUCCAAACUACUGCUGACUUCAUGCAAACAGAAGUGUUCUAAAGUGUCCUACUUUCUUACAAAGAACAAAUGUGGAUUUUAUAAUACUGUAAGGAAGCAUAAAUCUUACUAUCUCUAUACUCAUAUAAAAUUAUUAAUAAUUAUGUUAGCAUGGAUAGUAUGAAAUAAGCAACAAAAGAUAUUAGCAGAAAUUCCAGUGUGAUUUCAGUGAUGGACUAUGGCACAUUUUGCUAAAGAUAUCUGGCUGCAAAGCCUGGGAGUCCAGCAGAGGCAAUUAGGUGAAGUGAAAUCAAGGUUAUUCAUUCCUCAGUUAAAUAAUUCUGCAUGAUCUGAAUGUACCAGGGUUUUCAAUCACUGAUACUUAGAAAACUUAAUAUUUAAAAUACUAAAUAUUUGCAUGUUAUUAUGUGAGUGAGUAGUUUUCUGCUUAUUCAGCUGCUAAUUACAGACCAUAGUAAUUACACACCAUUAGACACAAAUAUGCUACACCUAUCAAUAGAGGAAUAUAUACUGAGACUGCUUCACAAAGCACUGUCACAGUAUGAGUACAUAAAUAAUGAUUUGAUACCUCAAUUGUAAUUUCAAGCAUGGCAGUUUGUUAAUCCUAAAAUUGGGUAAAAAUGAAUGCAACAGUUUAAUUAACUCAUCAUUUGAAAUGCUUGUUAUUCUUAGUUCAAUUUAUAAAAGCAUCACCUUUGAAUUAGGUGGGUUUAUGUGUAGUUCUUCUCUAGUUACUACACCUACUUAGCAACACAAGAGAUUUUUAAAAGAUAAUGAGAAAAAGGUUUCCCCUUCGUUCUCAGCUAAUUUUGUUUUGUGAUUAUCACGGCAGUUUCGUUUGAACUGAUAGAUUCAUAGGUUGUAAGGUAUGAGGUAUAGAAUGAGAUUUUAUAUUUUCUACAUCACCCCACAGCCAAUUGAAGCCCUAAAUUGUUUAUGAAAGAAAAUAACUCAGUUACUCUUGUCACAGCACAUAAGGUAAAAAAUAGGUUUGAAAAUUUUUAGAUCUUUGUAUUUGUUUUCAGUUCUUAGGCAAUUAAUCUAGCCAGGUGCAAAACUGACAGGAGAACGAGCCUUCAAAUUGAACUCUUAAUUUUUUGGAGAUGUUAAUUACUGGAACAAUGUUGUGAUACAUCAGCAACAGAACCCAAAUGUGUGUUAGUUCUUGUCUACUCAGUUAUUCAUUCCUCCAAAAAAUCUACACCAUUUCACUUGUUUCAGUAGCUUCAGUAUUUAAGACAGACCAAAAGAUGUAGGUGUUCAGGGUUUUACAGUUCCAUCCUGAAAAUGGCUCACAAAACACCUCUGACUAUGUCUCAUCCGUCAAAUAGCAAACAAUGAAAAUCCACAGCAUGAAAUUGCACCUUGUGGAGCUUCUUGUUGAAGGCAAAGAAUGAUAAAAGGAGGGGAAACGAGCCGUUUCAUUAUUGAAACAAUUGGAGUAACUAGUCUAAAGAUCCUCCAUCUACUCUUAAAAUACUGUUUCUAUUCCAGCAUAAAAUGUAAACCCCCCACUGCUCUAGGAGUAAAUCUGUUCCAGAUUCACAUGGCAAGCAGUGCUGUGUUCAGUUGUAGAGUAGGUUUCUAAGCCACGGUAAUUUCAGUGCCACAAGGAACACAGACUAUUAAGUUGUAGAACCUGGCUAAUUCACAUCAGUAGUUCAAAGCACCAAUGUCUAUUACUAAAAUUUGUAAAUUAGUAAGUUAUCAACCAGCAUAGCCCAUUUUCACGAUUUUCCCAUGAGCAUUAAUGAUAUUUGAUGUUUUCCUAAAGUCUGCUCCUGCAGGCUAGUGAGUAGAUGCAAACUUUAGCUUCCAUCAAAAAAGAGUUCUCACCUUUAUGGUUAGAGAUAAAACAUGAAAACAUGAGCCAGCUGAACCCUGGAGUAUCAAAAACCAGAAGGCAAAUAGGCAGAGCCCAAAAUUUAUUUAUUUAUUUUGUGAAGAUUUGGCAAGCAUACGCUAAUCUUUUGAUAUUUGAUGGACCACUUUAUGGUUUUUAAACACCUGUAGUUAGCAAUAUUGAACUG